This 1107-nucleotide ribosomal RNA is filed under the name Photobacterium sp. 831. RNAcentral's name for it is "bacterial SSU rRNA". It matches the Rfam family "Bacterial small subunit ribosomal RNA", at positions 384 to 1488 of the family's 1533-position model. The record is from RNAcentral. Lineage: Bacteria; Pseudomonadati; Pseudomonadota; Gammaproteobacteria; Vibrionales; Vibrionaceae.
UGAUGCGCCAUGCCGCGUGUGUGAAGAAGGCCUUCGGGUUGUAAAGCACUUUCAGUAGGGAGGAAGGUAGUGUAGUUAACACCUGCAUUAUUUGACGUUACCUACAGAAGAAGCACCGGCUAACUCCGUGCCAGCAGCCGCGGUAAUACGGAGGGUGCGAGCGUUAAUCGGAAUUACUGGGCGUAAAGCGCAUGCAGGCGGCCUGUUAAGUCAGAUGUGAAAGCCCGGGGCUUAACCUCGGAAUUGCAUUUGAAACUGGCAGGCUAGAGUCUUGUAGAGGGGGGUAGAAUUUCAGGUGUAGCGGUGAAAUGCGUAGAGAUCUGAAGGAAUACCAGUGGCGAAGGCGGCCCCCUGGACAAAGACUGACGCUCAGAUGCGAAAGCGUGGGGAGCAAACAGGAUUAGAUACCCUGGUAGUCCACGCCGUAAACGAUGUCUACUUGGAGGUUGUGGCCUUGAGCCGUGGCUUUCGGAGCUAACGCGUUAAGUAGACCGCCUGGGGAGUACGGUCGCAAGAUUAAAACUCAAAUGAAUUGACGGGGGCCCGCACAAGCGGUGGAGCAUGUGGUUUAAUUCGAUGCAACGCGAAGAACCUUACCUACUCUUGACAUCCAGAGAAGCUUGAAGAGAUUCGAGUGUGCCUUCGGGAACUCUGAGACAGGUGCUGCAUGGCUGUCGUCAGCUCGUGUUGUGAAAUGUUGGGUUAAGUCCCGCAACGAGCGCAACCCUUAUCCUUGUUUGCCAGCACUUCGGGUGGGAACUCCAGGGAGACUGCCGGUGAUAAACCGGAGGAAGGUGGGGACGACGUCAAGUCAUCAUGGCCCUUACGAGUAGGGCUACACACGUGCUACAAUGGCAUAUACAGAGGGCAGCAAGACCGCGAGGUGGAGCGAAUCCCAGAAAGUAUGUCGUAGUCCGGAUCGGAGUCUGCAACUCGACUCCGUGAAGUCGGAAUCGCUAGUAAUCGUGGAUCAGAAUGCCACGGUGAAUACGUUCCCGGGCCUUGUACACACCGCCCGUCACACCAUGGGAGUGGGCUGCACCAGAAGUAGAUAGCUUAACCUUCGGGAGGGCGUUUACCACGGUGUGGUUCAUGACUGGGUGAUCG